Oncorhynchus keta (chum salmon) is the source of this 80-nucleotide non-coding RNA. NCBI's taxonomy places the organism in Eukaryota, Metazoa, Chordata, Actinopteri, Salmoniformes, Salmonidae. The record is from the annotation of a RefSeq genome assembly.
GAUGAGCAUCGGUGGUCCGAGGUACAGGCUUCAAACCUGUAGCUGCUUAUCGGCAGAGUGGUUCAAUUUUUUUUAAUUUG